UGGGGAAUAUUGCGCAAUGGGGGCAACCCUGACGCAGCAAUACCGCGUGAGUGAAGAAGGUUUUCGGAUCGUAAAGCUCUGUUAUUGGGGAAGAAAAAAGACGGUACCCAAGAAGAAAGUCCCGGCUAACUACGUGCCAGCAGCCGCGGUAAUACGUAGGGGACAAGCGUUGUCCGGAUUUACUGGGCGUAAAGGGCACGCAGGCGGUUUUUUAAGUCAGAUGUGAAAGGUACCGGCUCAACCGGUGACAUGCAUUUGAAACUGAAAGACUUGAGUAUUGGAGAGGCAAGUGGAAUUCCUAGUGUAGCGGUGAAAUGCGUAGAUAUUAGGAGGAACACCAGUUGCGAAGGCGGCUCUCUGGACUGUAACUGACACUGAGGCACGAAAGCGUGGGGAGCAAACA
Molecule: ribosomal RNA, 403 nt
Filed under: uncultured prokaryote
Description: bacterial SSU rRNA
Rfam family: Bacterial small subunit ribosomal RNA
Source: RNAcentral